AGAUGUGAGGGUGAUCUGCCCGUGAAAUCUGUCACUCCAUUGAUGGCUGACAAGUGCUGUCCCUUUCUUCCCUUCCUGCUCGGUGUGCAUCCCUCCAGCGGCUUUGCACUCAGUUGAAGAGGANGCUCUUCUGCAGUNGUGGGGCACCCUUCUUUAGCCAAGGGUCUACCUGUAGCUGCUUAUCCCUGCUAGAACCCCCAAACAAGCUCUCAAAACAGGAGGCUAAUGAGUAACUGAUGGGCAAUUAUCNNNNN
RNAcentral lists this small nuclear RNA (254 nucleotides) under Neotoma lepida (desert woodrat). RNAcentral describes it as "7SK RNA". It matches the Rfam family "7SK RNA", at positions 1 to 278 of the family's 331-position model. Rfam says of the family: 7SK was discovered as an abundant small nuclear RNA in the mid-70s but a possible function has only recently been suggested. The record is from Rfam by way of RNAcentral. Lineage: Eukaryota; Metazoa; Chordata; Mammalia; Rodentia; Cricetidae.